ACCAACAGGGAUUGCCUCAGUAACGGCGAGUGAAGCGGCAACAGCUCAAAUUUGAAAUCUGGCUCUUUCAGGGUCCGAGUUGUAAUUUGUAGAAGAUGCUUCGGGUGUGGCUCCGGUCUAAGUUCCUUGGAACAGGACGUCAUAGAGGGUGAGAAUCCCGUAUGUGACUGGGUGCCUUCGCUCAUGUGAAGCUCUUUCGACGAGUCGAGUUGUUUGGGAAUGCAGCUCAAAAUGGGUGGUAAAUUUCAUCUAAAGCUAAAUAUUGGCCAGAGACCGAUAGCGCACAAGUAGAGUGAUCGAAAGAUGAAAAGCACUUUGGAAAGAGAGUUAAACAGUACGUGAAAUUGUUGAAAGGGAAGCGCUUGCAACCAGACUUGCACGCGGUUGAUCAUCCGGUGUUCUCACCGGUGCACUCUGCCGCGUUCAGGCCAGCAUCGGUUUUGGUGGUUGGAUAAAGGCCUAGGGAAUGUAGCUUCUUUCGGGGAGUGUUAUAGCCCUAGGUGCAAUGCAGCCUACUAGGACCGAGGACCGCGCUUCGGCUAGGAUGCUGGCGUAAUGGUUGUAAGCGACCCGUCUUGAAACACGGACCAAGGAGUCUAACAUCUAUGCGAGUGUUUGGGUGUCAAACCCAUACGCGUAAUGAAAGUGAACGGAGGUGAGAACCCUUAAGGGUGCAUCAUCGACCGAUCCUGAUGUCUUCGGAUGGAUUUGAGUAAGAGCAUAGCUGUUGGGACCCGAAAGAUGGUGAACUAUGCGUGAAUAGGGUGAAGCCAGAGGAAACUCUGGUGGAGGCUCGCAGCGGUUCUGACGUGCAAAUCGAUCGUCAAAUUUGCGCAUAGGGGCGAAAGACUAAUCGAACCAUCUAGUAGCUGGUUCCUGCCGAA
RNAcentral lists this ribosomal RNA (884 nucleotides) under Polyphilus sieberi. RNAcentral describes it as "eukaryotic LSU rRNA". It matches the Rfam family "Eukaryotic large subunit ribosomal RNA", at positions 64 to 965 of the family's 3401-position model. The record is from RNAcentral. Lineage: Eukaryota; Fungi; Ascomycota; Leotiomycetes; Helotiales.